Molecule: ribosomal RNA, 427 nt
Filed under: uncultured bacterium
Lineage: Bacteria
Description: partial 16S ribosomal RNA
Rfam family: Bacterial small subunit ribosomal RNA
Source: RNAcentral
UGGGGAAUAUUGCACAAUGGGCGCAAGCCUGAUGCAGCCAUGCCGCGUGUAUGAAGAAGGCCUUCGGGUUGUAAAGUACUUUCAGCGGGGAGGAAGGUGUUGUGGUUAAUAACCACAGCAAUUGACGUUACCCGCAGAAGAAGCACCGGCUAACUCCGUGCCAGCAGCCGCGGUAAUACGAAGGGCGCAAGCGUUAAUCGGAAUUACUGGGCGUAAAGCGCACGCAGGCGGUCUGUCAAGUCGGAUGUGAAAUCCCCGGGCUCAACCUGGGAACUGCAUCCGAAACUGGCAGGCUUGAGUCUUGUAGAGGGGGGUAGAAUUCCAGGUGUAGCGGUGAAAUGCGUAGAGAUCUGGAGGAAUACCGGUGGCGAAGGCGGCCCCCUGGACAAAGACUGACGCUCAGGUGCGAAAGCGUGGGGAGCAAACA